Molecule: transfer RNA, 60 nt
Filed under: Dipodomys ordii (Ord's kangaroo rat)
Lineage: Eukaryota; Metazoa; Chordata; Mammalia; Rodentia; Heteromyidae
Rfam family: tRNA
About the family: Transfer RNA (tRNA) molecules are approximately 80 nucleotides in length. Their secondary structure includes four short double-helical elements and three loops (D, anti-codon, and T loops). Further hydrogen bonds mediate the characteristic L-shaped molecular structure. tRNAs have two regions of fundamental functional importance: the anti-codon, which is responsible for specific mRNA codon recognition, and the 3' end, to which the tRNAs corresponding amino acid is attached (by aminoacyl-tRNA synthetases). tRNAs cope with the degeneracy of the genetic code in two manners: having more than one tRNA (with a specific anti-codon) for a particular amino acid; and 'wobble' base-pairing, i.e. permitting non-standard base-pairing at the 3rd anti-codon position.
Source: Rfam by way of RNAcentral
GUGGCUCAGAGGUAGAGCACUUGCCUUGCAUGCAUGAGGCCCUGGGUUCAAUUCCUCAGC